RNAcentral lists this ribosomal RNA (301 nucleotides) under uncultured bacterium. RNAcentral describes it as "partial 16S ribosomal RNA". It matches the Rfam family "Bacterial small subunit ribosomal RNA", at positions 509 to 807 of the family's 1533-position model. The record is from RNAcentral.
CAGUAGCCGCGGUAAUACGGAGGGGGCUAGCGUUGUUCGGAAUUACUGGGCGUAAAGCGCACGUAGGCGGCUGUGUAAGUCAGAGGUGAAAGCCCGGGGCUCAACCCCGGAAUAGCCUUUGAGACUGCAUAGCUUGAACACGGGAGAGGUGAGUGGAAUUCCGAGUGUAGAGGUGAAAUUCGUAGAUAUUCGGAAGAACACCAGUGGCGAAGGCGGCUCACUGGACCGUUGUUGACGCUGAGGUGCGAAAGCGUGGGGAGCAAACAGGAUUAGAUACCCCCGUAGUCCCUGUCUCUUAUAC